CCGCACGGGUGAGUAACACGUAUCCAACCUGCCGUCUACUCUUGGACAGCCUUCUGAAAGGAAGAUUAAUACAAGAUGGCAUCAUGAGUCCGCAUGUUCACAUGAUUAAAGGUAUUCCGGUAGACGAUGGGGAUGCGUUCCAUUAGUUUGUUGGCGGGGUAACGGCCCACCAAGACUACGAUGGAUAGGGGUUCUGAGAGGAAGGUCCCCCACAUUGGAACUGAGACACGGUCCAA
This 236-nucleotide ribosomal RNA is filed under the name uncultured bacterium. RNAcentral describes it as "partial 16S ribosomal RNA". It matches the Rfam family "Bacterial small subunit ribosomal RNA", at positions 98 to 334 of the family's 1533-position model. The record is from RNAcentral.